GACGAACGCUGGCGGCGUGCUUAACACAUGCAAGUCGAACGGAAAGGCCCUGCUUUUGUGGGGUGCUCGAGUGGCGAACGGGUGAGUAACACGUGAGUAACCUGCCCUUGACUUUGGGAUAACUUCAGGAAACUGGGGCUAAUACCGGAUAGGAGCUCCUGCUGCAUGGUGGGGGUUGGAAAGUUUCGGCGGUUGGGGAUGGACUCGCGGCUUAUCAGCUUGUUGGUGGGGUAGUGGCUUACCAAGGCUUUGACGGGUGGCCGGCCUGAGAGGGUGACCGGCCACAUUGGGACUGAGAUACGGCCCAGACUCCUACGGGAGGCAGCAGGGGGGAAUAUUGCACAAGGGGCGGAAGCCUGAUGCAGCAACGCCGCGUGCGGGAUGACGGCCUUCGGGUUUUAAACCGCUUUCGCCUGGGACGAAGCGUGAGUGACGGGAAUGGGUAAAGAAGCACCGGCUAACUACGUG
RNAcentral lists this ribosomal RNA (468 nucleotides) under uncultured bacterium. RNAcentral's name for it is "partial 16S ribosomal RNA". It matches the Rfam family "Bacterial small subunit ribosomal RNA", at positions 28 to 507 of the family's 1533-position model. The record is from RNAcentral.